RNAcentral lists this ribosomal RNA (100 nucleotides) under Acanthosepion pharaonis. Lineage: Eukaryota; Metazoa; Mollusca; Cephalopoda; Sepiida; Sepiidae. The record is from RNAcentral.
CGUUGAAACACUGAUUCUCAUAUGAUCACCGAAGUUAAGCAACAUCAAGCCUGGUCAGUACCUAGAUGGGUGGCUAUUUGGAAAUACCAGGAGCUGUAAG